Molecule: small nuclear RNA, 43 nt
Organism: Balaenoptera musculus (blue whale)
Lineage: Eukaryota; Metazoa; Chordata; Mammalia; Artiodactyla; Balaenopteridae
Source: Ensembl
GUGUCGUAUGAAAGGAGAGAAGGUUAACGCUCCCCUUGACAAA